RNAcentral lists this ribosomal RNA (253 nucleotides) under uncultured bacterium. RNAcentral's name for it is "partial 16S ribosomal RNA". It matches the Rfam family "Bacterial small subunit ribosomal RNA", at positions 524 to 776 of the family's 1533-position model. The record is from RNAcentral.
UACGUAUGGGGCGAGCGUUGUUCGGAUUUAUUGGGCGUAAAGGGCGUGUAGGCGGUUUCGUAAGCUUGGUGUGAAAUAUUCUGGCUUAACCAGAAAAACGCACUGGGAACUGCGAGACUAGAGUUUAGGAGGGGAAGCUGGAAUUCCAGGUGUAGGGGUGAAAUCUGUAGAUAUCUGGAAGAACACCAAAGGCGAAGGCAAGCUUCUGGACAUAGACUGACGCUGAGGCGCGAAAGCGUGGGGAGCAAACAGG